CCUACGGGUGGCAGCAGUGAGGAAUAUUGGUCAAUGGACGAGAGUCUGAACCAGCCAAGUAGCGUGAAGGAUGACUGCCCUAUGGGUUGUAAACUUCUUUUAUAAAGGAAUAAAACGAGGCACGUGUGCCUUUUUGCAUGUACUUUAUGAAUAAGGAUCGGCUAACUCCGUGCCAGCAGCCGCGGUAAUACGGAGGAUCCGAGCGUUAUCCGGAUUUAUUGGGUUUAAAGGGAGCGUAGAUGGGUUGUUAAGUCAGUUGUGAAAGUUUGCGGCUCAACCGUAGAAUUGCAAUUGAUACUGGCAGUCUUGAGUACAGUUGAGGUAGGCGGAAUUCGUGGUGUAGCGGUGAAAUGCUUAGAUAUCACGAAGAACACCGAUGGCGAAGGCAGCUUACUAAACUGUGACUGACAUUGAUGCUCGAAAGUGUGGGGAUCAAACAGGAUUAGAUACCCCUGUAGUC
Molecule: ribosomal RNA, 460 nt
Filed under: uncultured bacterium
Lineage: Bacteria
Description: partial 16S ribosomal RNA
Rfam family: Bacterial small subunit ribosomal RNA
Source: RNAcentral